GGAUCCCCGAAUUCAAGCCCUAGGAGGGACCCCAGGCCCGAAUGGCCCCAAGCGAGCCUGCAGCCAUUGACGGAAAAAUGACAACCGGGUAUCUUCGAACGACGUAAAAGUCGAAAAGGAGCUCGACAAAUAACAAUCCAACACGAAUAAAAGAGGUCAUCGAUGACCUUAGGACGACGUGAAAAAGAAAAGAAGAAAAGGAGGAAGAGAGAAGAAAGAAGAAUAAAGAAGUUCGACAGACAACUAUUCGAUGUAAGAUGCAGAUGAGGUAACAAAAUCUCUUUUUCAUUUUUCAACCAACAAGGUGUACGUUACAAGACCCGGUGGG
RNAcentral lists this long non-coding RNA (328 nucleotides) under Elaeis guineensis (African oil palm). Its description in RNAcentral is "long non-coding RNA (EGUI_LNC070774)". The record is from RNAcentral. Lineage: Eukaryota; Viridiplantae; Streptophyta; Magnoliopsida; Arecales; Arecaceae.